RNAcentral lists this ribosomal RNA (521 nucleotides) under uncultured bacterium. RNAcentral's name for it is "bacterial SSU rRNA". It matches the Rfam family "Archaeal small subunit ribosomal RNA", at positions 345 to 866 of the family's 1478-position model. The record is from RNAcentral.
AACCUCCGCAAUGUGAGAAAUCGCGACGGGGGGAUCCCAAGUGCCAUUCUUAACGGGAUGGCUUUUCAUUAGUGUAAAGAGCUUUUGGAAUAAGAGCUGGGCAAGACCGGUGCCAGCCGCCGCGGUAACACCGGCAGCUCUAGUGGUAGCAAUUUUUAUUGGGCCUAAAGCGUCCGUAGCCGGUUUAAUAAGUCUCUGGUGAAAUCCUGUAGCUUAACUGUGGGAAUUGCUGGAGAUACUAUUAGACUUGAGACCGGGAGAGGUUAGAGGUACUCCCAGGGUAGAGGUGAAAUUCUGUAAUCCUGGGAGGACCGCCUGUUGCGAAGGCGUCUAACUGGAACGGUUCUGACGGUGAGGGACGAAAGUUAGGGGCGCGAACCGGAUUAGAUACCCGGGUAGUCCUAACUGUAAACGAUGCGGACUUGGUGUUGGGGUGGCUUUGAGCUGUCUCAGUGCCGAAGGGAAGCUGUUAAGUCCGCCGCCUGGGAAGUACGGUCGCAAGACUGAAACUUAAAGGAAUU